GUGCUCACUUCAGCAGCACAUAUACUAAAAUUGGACCAAUACAGAGAAGAUUAGCAUGGCCCCCUGCACAAAGAUGACACGCAAAUUCGUGAAGCAUUCCAUUUUUUA
This 108-nucleotide small nuclear RNA is filed under the name Balaenoptera musculus (blue whale). Lineage: Eukaryota; Metazoa; Chordata; Mammalia; Artiodactyla; Balaenopteridae. The record is from RNAcentral.